Molecule: ribosomal RNA, 466 nt
Filed under: uncultured bacterium
Lineage: Bacteria
Description: partial 16S ribosomal RNA
Rfam family: Bacterial small subunit ribosomal RNA
Source: RNAcentral
GACGAACGCUGGCGGCGUGCUUAACACAUGCAAGUCGGACGGAAAGGCCCUGCUUGCAGGGUACUCGAGUGGCGAACGGGUGAGUAACACGUGGGUGAUCUGCCCUGCACUUCGGGAUAAGCUUGGGAAACUGGGUCUAAUACCGGAUAGGAGCCAUCUUUAGUGUGGUGGUUGGAAAGUUUUUUCGGUGUAGGAUGAGCUCGCGGCCUAUCAGCUUGUUGGUGGGGUAAUGGCCUACCAAGGCGGCGACGGGUAGCCGGCCUGAGAGGGUGUACGGCCACAUUGGGACUGAGAUACGGCCCAGACUCCUACGGGAGGCAGCAGUGGGGAAUAUUGCACAAUGGGCGCAAGCCUGAUGCAGCGACGCCGCGUGGGGGAUGAAGGCCUUCGGGUUGUAAACUCCUUUCGCUAGGGACGAAGCUUUGUUGUGACGGUACCUAGAUAAGAAGCACCGGCUAACUACGUG